AGCAACAUGUGUACCCGAGCCAAGGAUAAAAGCGAAAGAGGUCGCGGCUGUUUCUUCCGUCGAGCCAGAGAAAUAAUUUGACGCUGACCAUCCUCUUCUUUCUUUUUUCUUCUCUUUCAUGAUCUUGUGUUUGAUGUGCUCCACGAUUGGCUUCACUGCAACCGUCAACAGCUGGCGUCAAUUUAAGGAGGAGCAGUGAGGCGUCCGUCAGAGCUCUUUUGCAAGACAUCCUGCUGGCUGCUGGCCAGCACCGCCACACGAAGACCCCCCACCAAUGCACCCCCCCACUGAUGUGAUAUCAUACCCCCUUUUGAAAAGAAGACCCCCCUCCUCUUCGACAUCAUAUCACAAUAACAAGGCCAGUCAGCGUGAGGUUGGCGAUGCUGACGCAUACAGUCCAUGAUGGAUGGACGGACGGAUGGAAAUUCUGCUUUCGCAAAAGUCCCCGGCUGCCAUCCCGUGCAGUGUCCAUGGUGAUGCGGCCACUCGCACUCCCAGGCCAAGACAAGGG
Molecule: long non-coding RNA, 511 nt
Organism: Syngnathus acus (greater pipefish)
Lineage: Eukaryota; Metazoa; Chordata; Actinopteri; Syngnathiformes; Syngnathidae
Exons: 3
Source: RefSeq, a predicted model, not a curated record